UGCCAGCAGCCGCGGUAAUACGUAGGGUCCGAGCGUUGUCCGGAAUUACUGGGCGUAAAGAGCUCGUAGGUGGUUUGUCGCGUUGUUCGUGAAAACUCACAGCUUAACUGUGGGCGUGCGGGCGAUACGGGCAGACUAGAGUACUGCAGGGGAGACUGGAAUUCCUGGUGUAGCGGUGGAAUGCGCAGAUAUCAGGAGGAACACCGGUGGCGAAGGCGGGUCUCUGGGCAGUAACUGACGCUGAGGAGCGAAGGCGUGGGGAGCGAACAGGAUUAGAUACCCUGGUAGUCC
RNAcentral lists this ribosomal RNA (291 nucleotides) under uncultured bacterium. Its description in RNAcentral is "partial 16S ribosomal RNA". It matches the Rfam family "Bacterial small subunit ribosomal RNA", at positions 506 to 796 of the family's 1533-position model. The record is from RNAcentral.